GUGCAGCAGGCGCGAAACCUUUACAAUGCCUUCACGGGCGAUAAGGGGAUCCUGAGUGCUCUAGCAUUGCUAGAGCUUUUCCAGAGUGUAAAAAGCUCUGGGAAUAAGUGGUGGGUAAGACGGGUGCCAGCCGCCGCGGUAAUACCCGCGCCACAAGUGGUGACCACGUUUAUUGGGUCUAAAAGCGUUCGUAGCCGGCUCAAUAAAUUCUCGGUGAAAAUCCUGUGUAAAAACAUAGGAAGUGCCGAGAAGACUGUUGAGCUAGGGGACCGGGAGAGGCUGAGGGUACUCCGAGGGGUAGGGGUUAAAAUACCGUUGUGGUUUAAUCUCGCGGUUUAACAAUCCUGUAAUCCCUGGAGGACCACCGGUGGCGAAGGCGCUCAGCUGGAACGGCUCCGACGGUGAGGGACGAAAGCCGAGGGGAGCGAACGGGAUUAGAUACCCCGGUA
This 449-nucleotide ribosomal RNA is filed under the name uncultured microorganism. RNAcentral's name for it is "bacterial SSU rRNA". It matches the Rfam family "Archaeal small subunit ribosomal RNA", at positions 330 to 743 of the family's 1478-position model. The record is from RNAcentral.